Molecule: ribosomal RNA, 492 nt
Filed under: uncultured bacterium
Lineage: Bacteria
Description: partial 16S ribosomal RNA
Rfam family: Bacterial small subunit ribosomal RNA
Source: RNAcentral
AGUGAACGCUGGCGGUAGGCCUAACACAUGCCAGUCGAACGGCAGCACAGUAAGAGCUUGCUCUUACGGGUGGCGAGUGGCGGACGGGUGAGGAAUACAUCGGAAUCUACUUUUUCGUGGGGGAUAACGUAGGGAAACUUACGCUAAUACCGCAUACGACCUACGGGUGAAAGCAGGGGAUCUUCGGACCUUGCGCGAUUGAAUGAGCCGAUGUCGGAUUAGCUAGUUGGCGGGGUAAAGGCCCACCAAGGCGACGAUCCGUAGCUGGUCUGAGAGGAUGAUCAGCCACACUGGAACUGAGACACGGUCCAGACUCCUACGGGAGGCAGCAGUGGGGAAUAUUGGACAAUGGGCGCAAGCCUGAUCCGGCCAUACCGCGUGGGUGAAGAAGGCCUUCGGGUUGUAAAGCCCUUUUGUUGGGAAAGAAAAGCAGCAGGUUAAUACCCCGCUGUUCUGACGGUACCCAAAGAAUGAGCACCGGCUAACUUCGUG